This 371-nucleotide long non-coding RNA is filed under the name Ananas comosus (pineapple). Its description in RNAcentral is "long non-coding RNA (ACOM_LNC041436)". Lineage: Eukaryota; Viridiplantae; Streptophyta; Magnoliopsida; Poales; Bromeliaceae. The record is from RNAcentral.
AAAUCCGACAAGUUUGGAUUCAGAAAGGUGAUAUCUUUCCUUGUUCUUCAUCUUAGUUUGUUUUGAUUGUUUAUGUAAUGCUUUGUUUGGUGCUUAUUGCAUAUUUUUGUUCAUUGUAUUACAUGAUGAUUUUCGUGUGUGAAAGUUGUUUUUUUAAAAUUGAUUUGAGGAAAGGUAUGUGGGAAUUUCAAAAUCUUUGAGAAAGGAGAUGAUUGAGAAUCAUUAUUUUGAGGAGAGAAUUUUUUAAAAAAAUUGUUUAAACGGUUUUUAACUUCACAAUCAUAUUAAGUUAAAUUCAUAUUAAUUAUCGUUUUUACUCCACUUUUUAUUAUUUUGACGAUAAUUUAAUAUAUGAUUUCUUUAUGCAUAUA